GAAUGGAUAGGGAAGAAGCUGGUUUUGUUAGCUGGGGGGAAUGUAGGAGGCUACCAAGAAGCCUCACGUGAAACGACGCUUCCCAGCUGUGGACUCCUGGGAGACCUUGGAAGCCAGAGCCACAGAUGUAAGAACGGAGCUCCGGUCACAUCGCGUGAGGCAGGCACAGGUUCAGGGCCUGACAAAGCGUACGCUUGACACACACCAAAGGGAGCAGUGUUCUAGGAGGAAUGCGGGCACCUCCCAACACACACAGAUGCCUAUGGGUCUGGAACUCUGUCGCUGAUCUUUGACAUCAAUGGAUCUUUCCUAUAAUCGACAUUUUCAGGCCCAAAGUGUUAGUCUAAUUUAAAAAUUAAAUACACCUCUAAAGUACAGAGUCAAUUCAGAAAACACUACAGAACUGAUAAAUUGAAAUUAGACCUCAGAAGAAUUAGGUCUUUGACUUAUAUUGACAAGCUCUAAUUAGGAACUUACUGCGAACCAAGCUUCUCUAAGUGCUGGACGUACAAGGUCAAACGUACCUGACAUAUUCUCUGAGUCUUAAGGGAUAGCUACUGAUGCUCUAACUGCAAGUGAGGUCAAUCUUGAGAGGAUGCCUUUAUGGAUUCGUUCAUUUAAAAGAAGCAGGAAAAAAAUGGGAGUUUUUUCAGUCGUAAGGAGCAUUGCCACUUGGCUGCUGAGUUAUAGGUCCUUAUCACAGCUGCAGGAAAGUAGGGCAUCGCCAGGGUCCCUGAAGGUGAUUGCCUCUGCUGUUUGACACUGUGUCUUUCCUAUUUGCAACACUGGCCUCAGCUCACAGUGAUCGAGGUGGCAAACUGAUGAAGGACAAAAGAGCACUCUGGGUACUGAUAAUUCAGAAAUGUGGGUGGUGUGGACAUGGAGCUCUGUUUGGGAGGCACAAAGAGAGGCUGAUCUCCAGAGACGAGGCCCAGGCAGGAGGGUGACUGCAGAGCUCCAAGUCUCUUUGGAAGCAUGUAACUAAAAGCAUAAAAGGCAUGUGCCAGCCGGGCGCGGUGGUGCACAC
RNAcentral lists this long non-coding RNA (1027 nucleotides) under Marmota monax (woodchuck). The record is from RNAcentral. Lineage: Eukaryota; Metazoa; Chordata; Mammalia; Rodentia; Sciuridae.